RNAcentral lists this long non-coding RNA (234 nucleotides) under Ricinus communis (castor bean). RNAcentral's name for it is "long non-coding RNA (RCOM_LNC000319)". Lineage: Eukaryota; Viridiplantae; Streptophyta; Magnoliopsida; Malpighiales; Euphorbiaceae. The record is from RNAcentral.
CCAGAUGGCCUUGGCGUCCUUCAGCUGAGAAACACUUUUGUGCAUCUCUUUGCUCAUAGAUCCGAGCAACUAGUGUUUGACCAUCAUGUUACAACGCCUCCACUAUUGUUGCUCUUCUCCGUCUUCUUCAGGUUUCUUCUGAGUUCCAUCUAUAAAACCAGCCUUGUUCUUUACGUCUAGGGCAUCGAUGAUGGCCUCCUGCCAUGUUUGGUAAUUGUCUUCUUCAAGAGAUAU